Long non-coding RNA from Gadus macrocephalus (Pacific cod), 455 nucleotides. RefSeq lists it as uncharacterized. The transcript is spliced from 3 exons. Lineage: Eukaryota; Metazoa; Chordata; Actinopteri; Gadiformes; Gadidae. The record is from RefSeq and is a predicted model, not a curated record.
GAUCACUUUUGAGGACAGCACUCAGCCACAGAUUCAAAUAGCUGCGGCUGAGUGUUCUUGUGUGGCUGGAACUGCUCUCUGCAAUCACAGUGUUGCACUGCUGUACCAGAGCACGAAAUACUCGGCAUUGCAACUGAAAGCAGUUCCGCCAGUCCUCAGCUGCACUGAAACUGAGCAGCAGUGGCAUAAGCCCCGAAAACUGGGUGUGAAACCUGGCAGAGUGAGUAAUAUGGUAUUUGUCUCAACCAAACCAAAGUCGAGACAGUACACAGCUGCUGAUGGUGUGAGGAGCAAGCGCUACAAAGCAGUGCGGGGGGACUUGCCAGACCCAGAUGUCCUGAAGGUCGACGAGGCAUACCAGGACUUCAUGGCAGACCUUGCACCAUUAAUCACCACGCUCUCCAUAAGUCCUGGUGUCCCCCUCGUCAAUUCCACUUUUGGGAGCGUUCAAGAUG